RNAcentral lists this ribosomal RNA (601 nucleotides) under Listeria monocytogenes. RNAcentral describes it as "bacterial SSU rRNA". It matches the Rfam family "Bacterial small subunit ribosomal RNA", at positions 1 to 583 of the family's 1533-position model. Lineage: Bacteria; Bacillati; Bacillota; Bacilli; Caryophanales; Listeriaceae. The record is from RNAcentral.
UUUAAAGAGAGUUUGAUCCUGGCUCAGGACGAACGCUGGCGGCGUGCCUAAUACAUGCAAGUCGAACGAACGGAGGAAGAGCUUGCUCUUCCAAAGUUAGUGGCGGACGGGUGAGUAACACGUGGGCAACCUGCCUGUAAGUUGGGGAUAACUCCGGGAAACCGGGGCUAAUACCGAAUGAUAAGAUGUGGCGCAUGCCACGCCUUUGAAAGAUGGUUUCGGCUAUCGCUUACAGAUGGGCCCGCGGUGCAUUAGCUAGUUGGUAGGGUAAUGGCCUACCAAGGCAACGAUGCAUAGCCGACCUGAGAGGGUGAUCGGCCACACUGGGACUGAGACACGGCCCAGACUCCUACGGGAGGCAGCAGUAGGGAAUCUUCCGCAAUGGACGAAAGUCUGACGGAGCAACGCCGCGUGUAUGAAGAAGGUUUUCGGAUCGUAAAGUACUGUUGUUAGAGAAGAACAAGGAUAAGAGUAACUGCUUGUCCCUUGACGGUAUCUAACCAGAAAGCCACGGCUAACUACGUGCCAGCAGCCGCGGUAAUACGUAGGUGGCAAGCGUUGUCCGGAUUUAUUGGGCGUAAAGCGCGCGCAGGCGGUCUUU